AUCUUUCACAAUCAUAUACCUUAGACAAUCAAUCAAGCCGAAUAUACUUGGAAAUGGAGAAGGGUCAAGCCAAGCUUAGCGCAAUGGUCUUUCUAUUGGUGAUUGCAUCCAGUCUUGCCGUCUCACAUGCUCAAACAAGAGUUGCACCAGGAGAGAGCUGGGAUCUCUCGGAUCUUCGGAAAGGACCAGGAGAAACUUGUAUUGGAUCUUGUCCUGUUCCGCAGCGUCCCGCCUUGGUAAAUGGCAAAUGCGUGUGUGUUCCGCCUCAAAGAGAAAAACUUGUAUGAGGAGGAGAGGAAGCAAAAAAGAAAAGGGAAUUUCGGUCUUAAUAAAA
Molecule: long non-coding RNA, 334 nt
Organism: Syzygium oleosum
Lineage: Eukaryota; Viridiplantae; Streptophyta; Magnoliopsida; Myrtales; Myrtaceae
Exons: 2
Source: RefSeq, a predicted model, not a curated record